Magnolia sinica is the source of this 107-nucleotide small nucleolar RNA. Lineage: Eukaryota; Viridiplantae; Streptophyta; Magnoliopsida; Magnoliales; Magnoliaceae. The record is from RefSeq and is a predicted model, not a curated record.
AAGCCGUGUUGUGGGCAUGAACUGAUAAGAUCCUUUAACCACUCCCAAUAUUAGAAGAAUGUUUCAUCUUCUUUUUGUUCAAAGUUCAUGAUUGACUUUCUAAUGGU